RNAcentral lists this ribosomal RNA (337 nucleotides) under Haminoea hydatis. Its description in RNAcentral is "partial small subunit ribosomal RNA". The record is from RNAcentral. Lineage: Eukaryota; Metazoa; Mollusca; Gastropoda; Cephalaspidea; Haminoeidae.
ACCCCACUAUUAACCCACAAGGAAAAUUCUAAGCACUACAGCUCCAAAGCUAAAACUUAAAUAACAUGGCGGCGAGCUUAAAUUUCAGAGGAACCUACCAGGUAAAUGAUAGCCCGCAAUUUAUUCUUACUUUACCUAAAAGUUUAUAUAUCGCCGUCUAGUAAUCUUUCGAGAAGGCUACAAAAUGUACUUUUACAAGAAGACAGGUCAUGACAUAGCAUAUGGUAAAGACAUAAGGUGGGUUACAAUAAAAAACUUUUUCAGAAAAGUAUCUAAAGAUAGUGUUUAAGAUGGAUUUGAAAGUAAUAGUUAAUAUAAAUAUGCUUUGAAUAUUUCU